GGGCAGGGGUGGAUCAGUGGAUAAGAUGUUGGUGACUCCAGGGCAGGGGUGGAUCAGUGGAUAAGAUGUUGGUUGGCUCCAGGGCAGGGGUGGAUCAGUGGAUAAGAUGUUUGUUGACUCCAGGGCAGGGGUAGAUCAGUGGAUAAGAUGUUGGUUGACUCCAGGGCAGGGGUGAAUCAGUGGAUAAGAUGUUGGUUGGCUCCAGGGCAGGGGUGAAUCAGUGGAUAAGAUGUUGGUUGGCUUCAGGCCAGGGGUGGAUCAGUGGAUAAGAUGUUGGUUGGCUCCAGAGCAGGGGGAGAUCCAUGGCUAAGAUGUUGGUUGGCUCCAGGGCAGAGGUGGAUCAGUGGAUAAGAUGUUGGUGACUCCAGGGCAGGGGUGGAUCAGUGGAUAAGAUGUUGGUUGGCUCCAGGCCAGGGGUGGAUCAGUGGAUAAGAUGUCGGUUGGCUCCAGGGCAGGGGUAGAUCAGUGGAUAAGAUGUUGGUGACUCCAGGGCAGGGGUGGAUCAGUGGAUAAGAUGUUGGGUAAUUCCAGGCCAGGGGUGGAUCAGUGGAUAAGAUGUUUGUUGACUCCAGGGCAGGGGUAGAUCCGUGCAUAAGAUGUUGGGUGACUCCAGGGCAGGGAUGGAUCAGUGGAUAAGAUGUUGGUGAUUCCAGGGCAGGGAUGGAUCAGUGGAUAAGAUGUUGGUGACUGUAGGGCGGGGUAGAUCAGUGGAUAAGAUGUUGGUUGACUCCAGGGCAGGGGUAGAUCAGUGGAUAAGAUGUUGGGUAAUUCCAGGGCAGGGGUAGAUCAGUGGAUAAGAUGUUGGUUGACUCCAGGACAGGGGUGGAUCAGUGUGUAAGAUGUUGGGUGAUUCCAGGGCAGGGGUAGAUCAGUGGAUAAGAUGUUGGGUGAUUCCAGGGCAGGGGUAGAUCAGUGGAUAAGAUGUUGGUUGAUUCCAGGGCAGGGGUGGAUCAGUGGAUAAGACGUUGGUGACUCCAGGGCAGGGGUGGAUCAGUGGAUAAGAUGUUGGGUAAUUCCAGGCCAGGGGUGGAUCAGUGGAUAAGAUGUUUGUUGACUCCAGGGCAGGGGUAGAUCCGUGCAUAAGAUGUUGGGUGACUCCAGGGCAGGGCUGCAUCAGUGGAUAAGAUGUUGGUGACUGUAGGGCAGGGGUAGAUCAGUGGAUAAGAUGUUGGUUGACUCCAGGGCAGGGGUAGAUCAGUGGAUAAGAUGUUGGGUAAUUCCAGGGCAGGGGUGGAUCAGUGUGUAAGAUGUUGGAUAAUUCCAGGGCAGGGGUGGAUCAAUGGAUAAGAUGUCAGAAUACUGAUUGGAAGGUUUUGAGUUCAAAUCCCAGUGCUGCCACUCUUGGGCCCUUAAC
Molecule: long non-coding RNA, 1354 nt
Organism: Ictalurus punctatus (channel catfish)
Lineage: Eukaryota; Metazoa; Chordata; Actinopteri; Siluriformes; Ictaluridae
Source: Ensembl